GUUCGAGAGAGAGAGAGGAGCGGUGUGCACAUAGGCUUCCUGCUUUACAAGCAAAGGAUAAAAGGGCUAUUCAGAGGAGUUUCGGCGCGGUGGGUCUUUGUGGAGCAGUUUUGGGCACAAGCUUGCCCAGGGAAGUUAUUUGGGCGUGAAGGUUUCCUGUUGAAGUCUCCGGGGAAAAGGUUUUUCUAUUGAAGUCUGCUGGAACAGAGUUCGUCUGUGGGAAUCUGCUGGACUGAUUUAUCGAUUGGAUCUGCGCUGUGAAGGGAGAGAGAAAGAUAAGUGAAUUGAUUUCAUCUUACAAACAUUCGAAAAGCUUGAAGAGGAUACAGUGAAUGUAAAUCUGACUGUUGGGGAAGCUAUGUGUUUCAGAGUGUGCUGAAGAGGAAUUGAGGAUUGAAUAUCCCCCACGGGAGUGUAACGAAUGGAUUGAGACCUCUGAUCAGCCUUACCGUGUGAGUGAAUUGCAGUGCUUUUGCCUUAUUGUUACACAUUGAUUCAUUGCUGUGGAUUUGUGGUGAACAUGAGUGUGGUGUGCUUUUGCUGAGAAGUAGUCCCAACCCCUGCUUACACGUUUGUGAAAAGUUAUGAUACCUGCUCUCCAUUAGAAUCCCUUACCUGUCUAUUUACCACCUGAGUCCUGGAAGUAUGCAGCAUCGCUGGUGAAGUAAGCUUUUAAGCCACUGUCUCACUCACGUGCACCGACGCCAGUAUCCUGUACUGAGAAGACUUCUUACCUCCCUAGGUACCGUCUGAGUCUGGAAGUACGCAGCAUCGCUGAGGAAGUAAGCUUUUAAAUUAUUCUUUCUAAUGUGCCCCGGCGAAAGUAUUCUGUACUGCGAGGGAUGCUUACCUGUCUACUCACCGUCGGAGUCCCGAAGGAUGCAGUAUUUCUGCCCUAGGAAGGAACAUAUUGCUGUGGGGAAAUUCUUGCCUUCUUACUUACCGUCUGAGUCUGGAAGUAUGCAGCAUUGCUGAGGAAGCAAGCUUUUAAAUUACUCUUUCUCUAAUGUGCCCUGACGAAAGUAUUCUGUACUGCGAAGAACCCUGACCUGUCUACUCACCGACGGAGUCCUGAAGAAUGCAGCAUUGUUGGUGAAACUCACUGCCCAAGUCUUGAAGAGAGCCGCCCUAUUGGUGAAGUCGCCGUCAGGGCGAAACUGCGACGUACGAUCAGUACCUAUCCGUAGCUGAAGAAGACCUAGAGGACACUGAAGUCUAUCACGCUUGUGCUCACUGAUAUAUUGUGCUCAAUAAAGAUUGUUAUUCCUUUGAAGUUACCUCUUGUCUGCGUUGUCCAUCUGUUGCGGACCUGUGGUGUCGGCUCCUCACGGUGGGGUCUAAGUAAGGGGUGGCUGGUCAUCCGAGUCCACCCCAGUGACACUCACACACCAGUUAAAUGUGUUCCAGUUUCACAGAGUGGAUGCUGUGUACUUGUUCCCCAGGAGUCUCUCUCACUACUUCCAGC
Cyprinus carpio carpio is the source of this 1465-nucleotide long non-coding RNA. The record is from Ensembl. Lineage: Eukaryota; Metazoa; Chordata; Actinopteri; Cypriniformes; Cyprinidae.